GAGCACUUGAUACUAACCGAGCCAUCCGUGUCCCAGGUCUCGUGCAGAGGUCUGAGGUACACCUCAUGAUUGCUGGGUCUGAAAAGUGCAACACUAAAACAAGCCAUGAAGUGUUUAAGCUCAGUGUACAAAGGAUGACACUGGGUUAUAACUCAGAGGCACAGAG
This is a non-coding RNA of Leptosomus discolor (cuckoo roller), 166 nucleotides long. NCBI's taxonomy places the organism in Eukaryota, Metazoa, Chordata, Aves, Leptosomiformes, Leptosomidae. The record is from Rfam.